GGGUUCUGCUCUUCUGUACACAGGGUCACUAGGAGUCUGAAUCGACUCCAGGGCACUAACGACAACAAAAGUAUAUUUGGAUAUGACUGAAAGUGUCAGUGUGUGACCUUUAGCACUUUUAACCCUGAUUCCAUUUACACUGUCUACUGCACGGAAAGUGUGAGGAGAGCAAAUCGUUAUUUGCUGUUCUGUUUCCUGACUUUAUCGUUGAAACAAUAUGUCAAUCAAAGUAAGAGGUACCUUCUUAGAUUAUUCAUCGACUGAAGAUGAGAAAACUGAGGCCAAGGUCAUACAGAAAUGGGAGCCACCUCUGGAAAUCCAGGCCAGAGCCCCCACUUUCAACCACUGCCCUGCACUGCACUGCUGCUGAUAUAUUAGGUACUCAAUAAAAGAUAAAUGAAUGCACAACUGGACCAUGAUAUAAGGCAGUAUGUGGUGGUAACUGGAAGGUGGGAGCUCAUCAGUAGCGUCUUCCUCUACCCGGCGUCUUAAUCAUCCUCUGAGGGAGACAGAGAGAGAGAAAGAGAAGAGGAAGAAGAGAGAAAAAUGAAGAGCAAUGGGGUGUGAUCCUUCCCAUGAAACUAUCCCCAAAUCCUUCUAAAGGUUCUAAACUCAAAAAAUGUUUGAGUGUGAGUUGAUUUUUGUAGGAACCAGUGAACAGAUUGGGCUUCCUGCCUGGAUUGAUGUGUAGGAGCAUAAAGGCAGAAGCCCAAGGAAACCAGUCCUGUGCGCUCACAAGAAUCGUGAGGAGGACUUUGCCUUUUACAAUCCUAUAGAAUUUGGGUUUGUCCAAGCUUAAACAGAUCUCUAAGUUCUCUGUUUGACAUCUGUGUUUCGUUUUGGGGUCCCGUCCAGUAUCGUUUGAAUUAAGGAGCAGAGCUGAACCAGGAGUACAGCCUUAUAAUGACUUCCAAACUGUGGGGUGCCCUGUGCAGGGAGAUUAGGGGUUUGUUGGAUUGGCUGAAAAUCUUGAUGAUUUUGGAAAUUCCAUUUAAAUUUAGAGUAAAGUUGUAGAAGCCAUUCUGAGAUAGGCAAUACAGCCUUUGGGGAAAACGCUCUGUUUAAUGUUGGCUGUUCAGAAAAAAGCCAGGUAUACGCUGAAUCAUAAACAAGAAGGGUGGUAACUUCUGUCAAUAUAAGAGACAUAAAAACAGACAUAGGAUUUCCUGGUAUGCAAUGUGGUUUUGUUAAUGGAGAGAAGAGACAUUUUGUGGCAAACUCCUACUAGCAGGAAAAACCAUGGCUUUUCCAGAAAUUAAGGUCAGGAAAUGGGAAAGAAGCCAGAGAGGAUAACUACUCCAGCGCCAUGAGCAAAGGUGCUCAUAUAAACGCCUAAGCUUUUCUUAUCUGUAGAUGAGGCCCUAGAGGGAGGAGCUGCAGAGGGCAGCGUGCCCACUUAACAAUAUCCCUUCCAGGGUGGUCUCUGACCCUGAGGGUGAAGAAAAUGUGGCACAAGGUUCAGACUGGGAGUUUUACCCCCUUCCUGGGGCUCCUUUAAGCCUAGUGUUGUUGACUAUGUUAACGAUAGUGCUCCAUUCACAGACUUCCAUCUAGGUUCUUUGGAGACCUCUGCUGUCGGAAAGGAGCUUGUCUGGUUCAGCCGUGUGGGAGAGACCCCUCAAAUAAAUGAAUGAAGAGGUCAAGCUGGAAAAGGAUUCCUACAGGACCCAGGCCCGGAUUUCUCUAAGGCCAUAGGAGAAGGAUGGGAGAAGUUAGGGCUAUGGAGUGAAGAAGGUCUGUGGUAUGGAGGGGAAUUGAGUGCCAAGUAAUAACCAUGCACUGUCUUCUCUUUACCUUUUCUUUUGGGGGGAACUUGGAAGAAGUUGUGAAAGACUGCUAAUAUUCUCUUCUCACUUUCACUUAGGGGAAAUUUUAAUAACAUAGAGAAAAUUGCAUUCAUUAGAAUUCACUUAGAUGGACAAAUGUCCUAUACAGGAAAGUGCUUGGGGUAUAGAUUGAAAUUCCAAGGAUGUGGAUGGCACUCUUUUAAGCUAGAUAACUUUCUCACUUCUUGGAGGAGAGGAAAGGAGAGACUGGUACUAGUGGACCCACCUGAAUGAUGGAAGGUCGCAAACUCUAUCAUGCAAUCUCUCUUCAUGCCUGUCUAAAUUUGUAAUCAAGGUAAAAAAUUCAAGAAAUGCUUGAGCAUGAGUGGAUUUUUGGUGGAAGCCAAUGAGGAGGUUCCGUGUUGAACUAUGGGAGUGCAUGCAUGGGAGAACAGGAAGCCAGAGAGGAGGAUGAGAAACUUGGACAUCACUGGAGUGUUCUGCGCUCUCAGAGUCUGCAUAAUUGGCAACUAAGUUUAACUAGAUCUAUGAUGGGGUGUGUGUGUGGUCACCUAGCUGAGUAAAAGGAGUCAUAUCUUCCUGGGAAUCUUCCUGCCUCAGGACUGUAUGUUCCCUUGGCAGGACUUUACAUACUGUAUUGUAAUUACAGUCCUGCUGACUACCUUUUUUUUUUCCCAAACACAGACACUUCUAAUCCCCUCAGCUAUCACUGUUCCCUCAUUCAAAGGCUCCCUUGUCUCUUUGUUUCCAUAGGAGGUCCAUGUAGAUAAGGCAAUAAUCCUUUCCAAUAAUUCUUUUUUUUUGAGGAAGAUCAGCCCUGAGCUAACAUCUUCUGCCAAUCCUCCUCUUUUUGUUGAGGAAGACUGGCCCUGAGCUAACAUCCGUGCCCAUCUUCCUCUACUUUAUAUGUGGGAUGCCUGCCACAGCAUGGCUUGAUGAGUGGUGCUGUGUCCGCACCCAGGAUCUGAACCAGUGAACCCCAGGCCGCCGAAGCGGAAUGUGCGAACUUAACUGCUGCGCCACUGGGCCGGCCCCCCCUUUCCAAUAAUUCUAACCUUGUCCCCAUCAGAUGUAUCUAAUAAGACCUAAAAGAAAAAGGAGGGGAACGCCCUUGUGAAUCCCAUGUGACCACCAUAUUCUUUUCUGCCUCACAUCUUGGUUUAUCUUAGCCUCCUGCCUAAAUGCCGUCCUUCCAUCUAAGUCUGAUCCAUCCUUCAAGCCCUAGCUAACAGCACACCUUCUGCCGAACCUUUCUCUGCUCCUUGCAGUCCUUACUGAUCUCCUUUCUAGCAUUGACCUUGUCUCUCUAACUCCAUUGCAUCCUCUGAGGAUGAGGCAUGUUUUUACUUCUGAAAACCCCACAUGCCUAGCACAAUGCUGAGGGCAUAGUAAGCAUUUCAUUUAAACGCGUUUAUUGCUAGCUUUGUGCAAGUGUGGUCUACUGAUUAAAAAUGCAAGCCCCUAGAGGGUAGGGCCUAGGACUUGCAGGUGUUUUUUUAACAGGGCUUCACACGUUUUAGUCUGUUUGACUCUAUUGAAAAAUGAGGACUAUGAGAGUGCAAAAAGCCUCAUUGAAAGUCCCCAUAGGAUGCAUGCUUGCUCCAGUACGUUAUGAUGGAUGUGACACAGCAAUGAGCUGCUCUGUAGGUGUACUUCCAAAGGCCAGGCACGCCAGGAGAACAAUCAUUACCUACUGAGAUUUUAACUGAUUUCCCUUUGUGCAAAUAUUUCUGUAACACUUCUUAAAGGACCCAACGUCUUGACUUUGAAUUCAUCCUGAAUUGAAUAAUGAAUUAUUAUUACUACGAAAGAAGAGCAAAGUAUAAGUAGAAAAUCAGCAACCAUGGGUCCGUAGUAAGACUAGAAAAAUGAAGUUAAGCCAGAGUGUCUUUACUCACUCAAAGAGCUCAUACCUUUCUUAGAGCCUUGUGUUAUUAAUAAUAAUAAUAAAAAACUUUGUCAGCUACUUGGAUCUGGAGAGCAUUCCAAGACCAACAGAAAUCGUUUCAGGGAGCCAAGUCUCAGGGUUUGCAUAAUUGCUAAACACUGUACUUCUCAACUUUCAUAAGACAAACCUAUCCUCAAAAUUUAUUUAUGAGAUGAAUAAUUGAGCCUGAAAAUUUGAUUCUGACAUUUCCUGUCCCUAUUGUGGACCUCUGAAGAGUUGGCUUAAUCACGUUUUCAGUAGUGUCCAAGAAUGACAUUCUUCUGACUCCUUUUAGGCAGAGACUUUUUAGCAUAAGUGAUUGCCUCAGUUUUGCUAACCAUUUCCUUCGGGGCAUGCAAUUGUGCCUCUUUCACUUGUGGAGUAGGUCCUGCAGAAACGGAGGAAUCACAUCCCUCCCCCGGUCUUCCUCCAGGCCAUCAAUACCAUGGAAGAUUUGACUGCAUCAAAAGCCUUUAUGGAUCAUAGACAAAGGAUAUUCCUUUUCAUCCCUGCAAAAGUUAUCUUGCUCAGGGAGUCACAUAGAGAAGGGUUGUGUGAGGCAGGAAUGAACUGACUCAUUGGUAUAUCUCCCGUGAACUCUCUGGAUUGCUUUAGAGGGAUGAAACUGAGCAGUUGAACGACUGUCUGAAUUCCGAGGCAGGGAACCGGCUUAAGAACAGCAAACACAAUUUGGGCCUGCAUAAAAUAAGGGGCUUUCUAGGGGAUCAGAAGAAACCUGUUUUGCACAGGUGUUACUCUAAUUGUGAUCCAGAGCUAAGGAGAAUUUCACAGUGGUUCCUGCAUUGAGACCACAGCUGUUAUAACUCGAGCCCCUCCCCACCCAGUGUGGUGGUCUUGCACUGUUGCAUAGGUCCAUAAUAGGAUGCACAUAGACAGAUAAAGCAAGAUGUGAAGAUUCGUGCCUGGUUCCAGUGAGUGGGGGUAGCUUUGCAUCCAUAGUUAGGUUUCGGUCUGUUUAAUAGGCCUUUGGAGAGGCAAAUGUACAGACUGAAAACUUCUGAUGUAUAGAGCCACUUGCUGUAGCCGUUACCGAGUGAAGAUUGCACGUGCUUUUAUUUUAAGUUAAAGUGGAAGGCAAAAGUAAAGAAAACAACUUUUGGUGUUCUAGAGACUGACACCCAGGUCAACAGGAUAAAAGUUUCUGUUAAUAGGGUUUUUUGGUAUUAUCACUCUUGAAAGGUGGUUUGGUCCUGAACGUUAGUAAGUCUUUUCGAUACAAAAUGUUAUCUACUAUAUUCGAUUCUUGGGGUAAGAAUAGAGAGUGUCCAUUCCUUUUUGCUAGUGGAUUCACUUGAUUAUACAUGGGUCAUUUAGUAGUCUUCUUUUAAGCUGGUGGGGGUGGGUUUCCUUGGGGGUUGUCAUUCUGUACAGUGUUGGCACAAUAUUAUGAAAUAUGGGACCCAGUAGAGUAGACCAGUUUUUAAGAUCGAGUGUUUGGUUUGCUGCAGUUUCUGGGAUGAGCAAUUAAGGUACUUAAUCUCUGUAAAAUUAACAUUUAAAAAAAUAUCAACAACAAAUAACUUUUCCUUGGUUAUUCAGAACUCCUUAUUGAACUAUCAGUGUGAGUGCUUUUUAAUUUUGAAAAUCUCGUCACCCUAUCCUAGGUGGCGUAGCUCCAGUCUUAGACUGUCUGUCUUGGGCAUGCUUACCUCCCCCAUUUUCUACAGAGCUUUUAUUUUCUUGCUCAACUCUGUAUAAAUUGCUUUAUAGUCACUUUCCCGCAUAGCUAUAUAUCAGUGCUUUUUCCUUCCUGUUCUUGUAGCACCUUAUAUAUUUUAUUGGUAAAGAGAUUGUAAAUUCUUCAAGGUUAGGAGCUGUUGUAUACUUAUAGCUGUAUCUCUAUAAUCUGAGUAUAUUUAUUAAUUCAAAGAUUAUUCCUCACCUCUUUCGCAAGCUUUUGUUUUUUUCUUAAUAUGCCCUCUUUUCACCAUCUCGCUGAGAGACAUACUUUGUUAAUAACUUUAAUUCAGUGGUUCUCAACCUUAGCUACAUAUUGGGAUCAUGUGGAGAGAUUUAAAAAGUGCUGAUACCUGGAUCCCAUCCCUAGGAAUUCUGAUUUAAUUGUCUGUAGUGUGGCCUGGGCUUUGGGGUUUUGUAAACCCUCCCUAGGUGAUUCUAACAUCCGGCCAAGGUUAAGGGCCACUGCACUAGUGCCCUAUCACUUCCAAUCAUGGGUUUACUUGGUUUUGCAUUCUCUGCAAAUGUGUAGCACCUUAAUCUUUUGCAUAUUUACUUAAAAUGAUGAUGAUAAUAGUAAUGAACAGUUAUUGAACACUUCUUCUAUGCCACUUCUUCUAAACACUUUACAAUUUAUUUACUUUCACAAAAAUAAUAAGAGAUAAGAAAUAGUGUUACUCACAUUUUAUAGAAGAAGAAAUUUAGGCAUAGAGAGGUUAAGUAAAUUGCCCCAAGUCACAUAGCUAGUGAUUGACAGAUCUGAGAUUUAUACGUAGGCCGUUGAACUCCAGAGCCCAUAUUCCCAAUUGCAACAUCAUGCUGUUGUCUGUUACACCUUCUUCUUGGGGCAGUGACUCCUGAUUAAUGGAAAUUUCCAAAAAAAACCCUGCUCUCCAGUCACAUAGCAUUUCCCCUGUUGCCUUCGUCUAUACAGCUCUGCACUGAGUGAUAUGAUGAGGAAGAAAUUUCUUCUAAAAAGGGAAUAGACAGAUCAAAGUAUACAAGAAAACACGCCACAGAGCCAUGGAAACAUCUAAUCCAGUGUAUUCAAUCCUGGCGCUAUUGACCAGUUGCGUCCCCCUCCAAUUGUGACAAUCAAAAAUGUUUCCAGACAUUGCCUAAUAUCCCUUCACUGAGAACGACUAUUCUAAUCAAGCGUCUUUCAAACGAGUAUUAGUAAUUAAACUUAAAGUAAUAAGAUGUUUUGAUUGAUGGCGACAACUUUUUUCAAAACAAACAUAUCAUAAUUUAUUUAUUCAAAUAGGUAUUUCUUUCCAAGUAACCAACUUGGAAGACUACACUCUUAUUCCAACAAUGCUGCUAUUGUUAAAACAUUUUAAAAAUUGUCUUCAGAUCUUGUAGUACAAUUUUUAAAUAUUAUCCUGUAUAAUGAAUCAUCCUUUAGUGGUGGGUUUAAUAUUUAGAAAGGUCUAAAAUAUAUUUAGAGACAAGUAUGGUGAGCAACGUAUGUUGAAGAAGAUAAGCUGUAGAGUUUUUUGUAACUUCAGCAACAUGGUCUUUCUUAUAUGGCUCCUAAACUGUCUUUGACAGCCUUUAAACAAGAGGGGUUCAAACUAAUGUUCUGAUUAGGGUGCUCUUUGUAGAAGUCCUUCCGGAGCUUCUCCCUUGCAGCACAAUGCUAUAUAAUACUAUUGUAUAAUGCUUAUUUUGGUUUAAAAAUAAAUUUUAUUUUCUAAGCAUCACAUAUCAUGCGUAUACUAAGAAUUUUCAUGUGUGAGCAAGUCCCAGUACCAGAGAAAAGUGGGAAGGCUUCCUAAACGGAGUUAGUUUUGAAAGAGGGAAAAGCCAAGGACGGCCUGAGACAAGUUGGGGAAACCAUCCAGAUAUGGGCAGUAGUCUGUGCAAAGCUUGGAGAUGGGAAGGAGUUAGCUGUGAGUUAGGGAUGGUAGGCAGGUGCACUUAACUAGAUUGGAGAGUCUGAGUCUAGGACUGUAGGUCUCAAUCCUGGCCAUGUAUCAGCAUCACCUGAGAAGUUAAAGAAAAAAGUGAUAGCUGCUUGAGUGCCACACUGGACCUAUUAAAUAAGAUUCUCUGGGGGUGGCGCCUUGAGCCUCCGUGUUUUGUUUUGAAAAUCUUCGCAAGCCAUCUUAAUGCAUAGACAUGUUUGAGAAUCAAUUUAAUAAGACAUAAACUUGAUUGAGUAAAGAGAGCCUGCAAUUCACGUUUUCCAUGACUCACAAAGCAAUAGUGGGCCAGAUUAGGCUUCUGAGCAGAGGAGUAAUAACCUCACGCAGUUGUGUAGAUACCAAGAUGACGAUACUGAUUUAAUAUCAGAAAAUCCAAAGGUCUCUGGUUUUUAGCUUGAAGUUAAAUAGCUUGUCCAUGUUCAUCUAGCCAGUAAGUGCAAAGCGAAGGCAUAGUCCCCAAGCCUUUUGAUUUCAUUUCAGUGUGCACAGGGGAGGACCAGAGAAAGAAUUAGGGAAUUUGUUGAGUGCAGGAGUGGGAGAGAGGUUAGAAUAAUAUGGAAGGUGUCCAUAAAUUGAGAGAGCCUUAGAGAGCAGGAGGGGAGAAAACUGAAGAUUGAACACCCACCAUGCGCCAGGCUAUGUCUCAUUAAAUCUUCCCAAUACCCCAACAGGGUAGUAGUGGGGCACACAAGGAUACUGAGGCUCAGAGUGGUCAAUAACUUGCCUAACGUCACGCAGAUAGGAACUGAGAUUCAGACCCAGUCUAGGUCUGUCAACCUCAGAGCUCACAUUCUUUUUACUAGCCCCUUUGGUCCUUUGUCUGACAGCAGUGGUUCUUCACCAAGGGCAGUUUCGCACCCAAGGGACAUUUGGCCAUGUCUGGAGACAUUUUGGGUUGUCACAGUUGUGGGGUAGGUGGGGGGUGCUACUGGUAUCUAGUGGGUUGAGGCCAGAUAUGCUGCUCAACAAUGCACAGGACAGCCCCACUGAAUUAUCCAGCUCAAAAUGGCAAUAGUGUUGAGGUUGACAAACCUUGACCUAGAACGAUGGUUGUAGCUCAGGAAGUUGGAAAUGAAAGACAAGUUUAUGGGUAAGAUGAUGAAGUGGCUUCAAACAUUCAUGUAAUAGUUAGAUGUUCCGUUAAAUCUAGCUGUGUCUCAUUUCCUUCCCCUUGAGAGUCGCUUGAGGCUGAGGCGUUGCUGACUACAUAGUAAUCUAGUAUCUGAACUUCUCAUGCCUUAACUGCUUCUUUACCUGAGCCCUCCUUCAAGACCCCCAGAUGGGUUUACCACAAGAACAACAGCCUUUGUGCCAGUUGCUAACCACCUGUUAAGGCGAGGAGGCUUUCCCCCCUCAUUUUUUUCUUUCUUUUUUCUCCUGGUUUUAUUAUUAUUAUUAUUUUUCUUUUUUAUGGCCCAUUGAGUUCUUGGCAGAUCUGUUAGACAUUUGCUCCAAGUUUCUCUUUUGGGGCCUUUUGUUAGAAGGAGGUGGAUCCUUGUUUACUAGGACCUGAGUGGAAACAUCCAAGCCCAGAGGCCACAAUAAGGCAGCCAUUUUUAGUCACUUUCCACCUGGGCUGAAUCUGAGCCAGAAGAUAAGAGGCAAAACAUAUUCCAUUGUCAGGCCCCUAAGCCAUCUACUCCCCUGAUUUCUCCCAUGAAUACUCUUGUUCCAACGCCAGCAAGCCCACAUACUCUGUUUGUGGUGGCUUGGAGCCAAAAUCCAGGUGUGAUAUUCCAAAGCAUUCUUGUAGAGGAGUUUUCAUCUGGUAUUUUGUUUACCUGCAUUUUUGGCCAGUCUCAACCUUUUGGGAGCCAAAAGCUUACAGAACUGUAACAUUUCUAGCUCUUACCACACCUGUCUACAAAAUAUGCGUGAAUACAGACUUUACACAAUGUGCCUGUGGCCUUUGGUGACCCCUUCAUUACCUUUAUCUUGCUUCAGGAAAUUUCAAGAGACUGUGGAAACGCCUCCUGUCUAGCUACUGCUCAAUGGAAAUCUGGUACCCUCACAAAGUGCUCUGAGGUCCUUGGCAGGAAAAAAGGCACUCUGUAAAAUCAUGAUAUGUUGUUCUUGGGACUACUUCCUAUUUUUUAAUACAAGACGCUUCUUGAAUGUUCAUCUUAAGGUAGCCCUGGAGGAAAACCAUAAUAAAUAUACUAUGCUGUAAAUGAGUCCUGCCACUCUAUCCAUUCUAGGAAAAGACCUAAAAAUAAUCUAGAUUUGGAUUUUGGUGC
This 9577-nucleotide long non-coding RNA is filed under the name Equus caballus (horse). Its description in RNAcentral is "lncRNA (ENSECAG00000059428.1)". The record is from RNAcentral. Lineage: Eukaryota; Metazoa; Chordata; Mammalia; Perissodactyla; Equidae.